UAGUCAUAUGCUUGUCUCAAAGAUUAAGCCAUGCAUGUCUAAGUAUAAAGAACUUUAUACUCUAAAACUGCGUACAGCUCAUUAAAUCAGUAAUUAUUUAUUUGAUGGUAACUUACUAAAUGGAUACCCGUAGUAAUUCUAGAGCUAAUACAUGCACAAAAUCCCGACUCGUAAGGGAAGGGACGUAUUUAUUAGAUAAAAAACCAAUGCAGGUUCGCCUGGUUGAUGGUGAUUCAUAAUAACUGAUCGAAUCGCAUGACCUUGUGUCGGCGAUAGUU
RNAcentral lists this ribosomal RNA (278 nucleotides) under uncultured eukaryote. RNAcentral's name for it is "partial 18S ribosomal RNA". It matches the Rfam family "Eukaryotic small subunit ribosomal RNA", at positions 21 to 295 of the family's 1831-position model. The record is from RNAcentral.